UGGGAAUUUGGACAAUGGGCGAAAGCCUGAUCCAGCAAUGCCGCGUGUGUGAAGAAGGCCUUCGGGUUGUAAAGCACUUUUGUCCGGAAAGAAAUCCUUGGCUCUAAUACAGUCGGGGGAUGACGGUACCGGAAGAAUAAGCACCGGCUAACUACGUGCCAGCAGCCGCGGUAAUACGUAGGGUGCAAGCGUUAAUCGGAAUUACUGGGCGUAAAGCGUGCGCAGGCGGUUUGCUAAGACCGAUGUGAAAUCCCCGGGCUCAACCUGGGAACUGCAUUGGUGACUGGCAGGCUAGAGUAUGGCAGAGGGGGUAGAAUUCCACGUGUAGCAGUGAAAUGCGUAGAGAUGUGGAGGAAUACCGAUGGCGAAGGCAGCCCCCUGGGCCAAGUACUGACGCUCAUGCACGAAAAGCGUGGGGAGCAAACAGGAUUAGAUACCCUGGUAGUCCACGCCCUAAACGAUGUCAACUAGUUGUUGGGGGAAUUCAUUUCCUUAGUAACGUAGCUAACGCGUNAAGUUGACCGCCUGGGGAGUACGGUCGCAAGAUUAAAAACUUAAAU
This 560-nucleotide ribosomal RNA is filed under the name uncultured bacterium. RNAcentral describes it as "partial 16S ribosomal RNA". It matches the Rfam family "Bacterial small subunit ribosomal RNA", at positions 357 to 906 of the family's 1533-position model. The record is from RNAcentral.